RNAcentral lists this ribosomal RNA (303 nucleotides) under uncultured bacterium. RNAcentral describes it as "partial 16S ribosomal RNA". It matches the Rfam family "Bacterial small subunit ribosomal RNA", at positions 507 to 807 of the family's 1533-position model. The record is from RNAcentral.
AGCAGUAGCCGCGGUAAUACGUAGGUGGCAAGCGUUGUCCGGAAUUAUUGGGCGUAAAGGGCUCGCAGGCGGUUUUUUAAGUCUGAUGUGAAAGCCCACGGCUCAACCGUGGAGGGUCAUUGGAAACUGGAAAACUUGAGUGCAGAAGAGGAAAGUGGAAUUCCAUGUGUAGCGGUGAAAUGCGCAGAGAUAUGGAGGAACACCAGUGGCGAAGGCGACUUUCUGGUCAGUAACUGACGCUGAUGUGCGAAAGCGUGGGGAUCAAACAGGAUUAGAUACCCCGGUAGUCCCUGUCUCUUAUAC